UCGCGCUUGCGCCGUACGCAGCGAGAUACAGAGCGCAAAGGCCACUCCGCAAGGACCGCAAGUCCGCACUCCGCAGUGCACUACUCCGCGCGCCGAUAAUGUCGAUACUCGCGGCUCUCGUGGUCGAGCGUUGAUCGCCGUACGCGAGAGUGUAUGGUCGCGUGCGGGCGCGGCGCGAUGUCACACUAGAGUGAGAGUAUCGUGAUUGCGUUUUCGGGAUCCUCGUUGCUCCGGAGUGGCCGUACGUGCGUGCAUCCGUGCGUGCGUGCGUACGUGCGUGCGUGCGUGCGUGCGUGCGAAUCUCGUCCCUCUCUCGCGUACGCGUUCUCACUAUCGUGUCCCCGUCGCGUCGCGUCGCGUCGCUCGACGGUGGACGCGCGCAGUAGGGUAGAAGAAUUGUAGGUUAUGAAAAAGUCGGGCAAACAUUGGACAAGCGUGAGUAACGUGUCGACGGUGUGCCUGCCGAAGACGAGGCGUAAUCGCGCGACGAGCCUCGGGGACGAUAGCCUGUUGAACUUCAACAUGAAGGAGCAGGAUAUACCCGAGUACCUGGAGGGCUGCGGCCUGUCGUCCUGCACGGCCAGCCUGACCAGCGACGUGUCCGACGACACGUUAGAGUUUCAGAUGAUGCGCGACAGCGUCAAGGAGAAGAAGUUCUCUACCGCGUCCUUCAGCAGCAGCAGCAGCAGCACCCUGGUCGACGGCAAGAAGAUCGUCAUGGUGAUACACCCGGACUCGAACAAGCCGAAGCCGACGAUCAAGAAGAUACCGAUCCAGGCGGAGCUGGACGUGGGCAAGGAGUUCGUCCGCUGCAGGGAGCUGUGCGUCACGAGGCUGGACCUGAGCAAGGCCAGCAUCACGAAUCUGCCGAGCUCCGUGAAGGAGCUCAAGCACCUGCGGGAGUUCUAUCUGUACAGUAACAGGCUGGUGAGCCUGCCGUCCGAGAUCGGUUUCCUGGCGAAUCUCGAGGUGCUCGCGCUCAACGAGAACUCGCUCACGAGUCUGCCCAACACCCUGGCGAACCUAAAGUCGCUGCGGGUGCUGGAUCUCAGGCACAACAAGCUCAACGAGAUCCCGGACGUGGUCUACAAGCUCACGUCGCUCACCACGUUGUUCCUGCGCUUCAACCGCGUCAGGUACGUCAGCGACAACAUACGUAACCUGACGAACCUUACCAUACUGAGCUUCCGGGAGAACAAGAUCAAGGCGCUACCGCCGGGAAUAGGCAAGCUGGUCAAUCUCCUGACCUUCGACGUCUCGCACAACCACUUGGAGCACUUGCCGGUGGAGAUCGGCAAGUGCGUGCAGCUGUCGACGCUGGAUGUGCAGCACAACGAGCUCCUCGACCUGCCCGAGUCGAUCGGCAAUCUGGUGUCGCUGACGAGACUGGGCAUUCGAUACAACAGGCUAACGAAUAUCCCAAAGUCGUUGUCGAAUUGCAAGGAGAUGGACGAGUUCAGCAUCGAGGGCAAUCAGGUGUCGCAUCUGCCGGACGCUCUGCUGGCGAGUCUGUCGGGCCUCACGACCAUCACCCUGUCCAGGAACAGCUUCGUCUCGUAUCCGGUGGGCGGCCCGGCUCAGUUCAUGAACGCCUAUUCCAUUAACGUGGAGCACAAUCAGAUCGACAAGAUCCCCUACGGCAUCUUCUCGCGGUCCAAGAACCUGACGAAGCUGAACAUGAAGGAGAAUCUGCUCAACACCCUGCCGCUCGACAUCGGCUCGUGGGUGACCAUGGUCGAACUGAACCUCGGCACGAAUCAGCUGGUGAAGCUCCCGGACGACAUACAGUGCCUGCGCAGUCUCGAGAUACUGAUACUCUCCAACAAUCUGUUGAAACGCCUCCCGACCACCAUAGUGAACCUUCGUAAGCUACGGGUGCUGGACCUGGAGGAGAACCGCAUCGACAUGCUGCCGAACGAGAUCGGCCUGAUGACCGAGCUGCAGAGGCUGAUCCUGCAGUCGAAUCAGCUUACCGUGCUGCCGCGCACGAUCGGCCACCUCAAGAGUGUCACGUUUCUCAGCGUGGGCGAGAACAAUCUCGCUUACGUGCCGGAGGAGGUCGGCAGCAUGAUGAGCCUGGAGUCGCUCUACCUCAACGACAACAAGAACCUGCACAAUCUCCCGUUCGAGCUGGUGUUGUGCAAGAAGCUCCUUAUCAUGUCAAUUGAGAACUGUCCGCUGUCGCACAUACCGGCGGAUAUAGUGGCCGGUGGCCCGUCACUGGUCAUCCAAUUUCUCAAGAUGCAGGGUCCCUACCGAAACUUCAGUUCCAGCUAGAAAGGGACAUUUUCUUCGACGUCUACCGCUAGCCCGGUAAUCAAUUUUACAAUUACAAUACCGGAAUACGCACCUCGCAAAAAUCGCAAUAGGAUUCGUCUCUUAGCAUUCCUCUUCCCGUUUUGAACUAAGAAUCUUUAUCGCUGAAAGGUCGUGGUGAUCGUAUAUUACAUAUAUAUAUAUAUAUAAACUACAUUAAUUUACAAGUUCUUCCUAUAAAGUGUACACGCACAUACAUUUUCGACAUGGUCGGACUGCAACUAUUAAAAGUGACCAGUGAUAAACGGUAUUGGAGAUUUGCUCUUGGUUGCAAAGACUAUGUUAUCUUGUAAUCUGUUACGGUGAUACGAGCGAAUGCGUUGCGGACAGGGAGAAAAGACAUUGUAAAACUUAAUUAGAGAGUACAACUUAAAAGUGCACGUCGGGGCGAACGUUACGAAAGGUUCUUGACAAUUAAUGAGUAUGUCAGAUAUUUUAAGUCUGAAAGUGAAAACUUCUUUCAUUGUAUUAUAGGAUAAAGGUUGCGGUAUAACGGUCGCCAUGAGCUCCCACUUACGCGAACUAUUAAUAGUGAAAUGCGUCUUAUCGAAGACGUAAACGGUUCAUCGAUAUUAGACAAAAGAUUUUCUUUUUUUAAAAGUAUGACGUAAUUCACUCGACGUUAUGUAAUGUUAUGUACAGAAACAGCGCGCACUGUGCGCGUUACUUGGAAUGGAGAAUUUUAGUAGUAAUAGUAGCUUUUAUUGUAUAUUUGUUGCUUUUAACGCUACGCGUUACAUAUUAUCUACAGUUAUGAAGAUGUAUGUCGAUGCUUUUGUAAUUUUGUCUUUUAUUAUAUAUAUAUAUAUAUAUAUCUCUCUCUCUCUCUCUCUCGAGUGUUGA
This is an RNA transcript of Vollenhovia emeryi, 3159 nucleotides long. It is a transcript of the gene named leucine-rich repeat protein soc-2 homolog, with no coding region annotated. The transcript has 3 exons. The record is from RefSeq and is a predicted model, not a curated record. Lineage: Eukaryota; Metazoa; Arthropoda; Insecta; Hymenoptera; Formicidae.